CAGAUCACCUGCAUGUGAUGUGUUCGGGGUUAGAGAUGAAACCCAUGCUGGUUGCGAUGGCAGAAGUUUGCUUGUGGGUUUCGCAAAUGGAAUAUCUGAGCUGCUCAUUGAAGAUCAGACGUUGUCCACGUGAAGAAGCUGGGCAAGGGCGUUUCAUUCAGAAACCUAGCGUGAAAGCAGACGCCGAAGGAUGAGCGACCAUGAUGUCUGCAGGGAACCUGGAGUGAUUCCGAGUCAGAAAGCUUCAUCUGGGGCUACACCUCCGGUGUCCCUCUCCUCCUGCCUUGGUCCGAUCAAAAGAAAUCACAUGUUUUUCUGUUGGUCAUGGAGUCUGCAGAUCAGCACAGGUUCCUUUUAGGUUCAGCAGACCUGGGAACAGGGACUUGGGAACAGGUCCUUUACUUGAGAAAUGAUCCUGGGACGCACCGGUGAAAAAGUGCUGAAAAAGAAACAGAAAGACAGAAAAGCAAAUGAGCAACAUUUAAAAUACGGAAGAGACCGAUUCUUCACCGUGGAAUUGCCUUGGCAUCCCUGCCAAAAAACAACUGGAUCUACAUCUGGAUGCUGUUUUGUGCCAGUGAUACAUGUGCCUCUUUUUACACUGACCAUUUGCUCACAUUAAAAGAAGUUGAUAAAAUGAACUGUCAUGAAAAUAAUAGAUGUCCUGUAUUUAAUGACUCUCUUCAAAAUGUGGACAAUUCUUCAAGCCUGGUCGUGGGUAAAUGGGGAUUUGUCAUACUUUUUAACUUGGGUGUAUGUAUAGAAGUUUUCAAAAUAUUUCAGAAUGAUUCCCUGCAAGUCUUUUAAUCACUCCCUCUACCAGUAUUUUAGGGAGGGCCUGCUCUCUGACUGACUGGCACAAAUCUAUGACGUGGAGCUAGAGCAGUGAACACAACAGUCUUUCAUAAAUCCCUUCUUAGUGAAAUGGACAACGGAUACACAGAUGAAUGUGGAAUGCAAGAUCCUAAAAUGAGUAUUGAAGAAAACAUGAAAUGGAUGGGGGAUAAAAUUAUCCUGGACACUUUUAAAUCAAGGCAACUCUAAUGAGAUGAUCCUGGCAAAGCUACCUGGGGAUAGUUUGGCUAUUUUCAUAUGUUGUAGGAAUCUCACUCCCUAAUAUUUAUUCAAGUGAGUUGAACACUUAUGACCACACACAAGUCUGCACACAGAUAUGAAGAGCAGCUUUACUCAUAGCUGCCCAAACUUGGAAACAGCCAGAAUAGUCCCAUAGCAUGUGAAUAGAUUAGCAAAUUAUAAUACAGCUAUACAAUGGGACAUUAUUCAGUGAUAAGGAGAAAUGAGCUACAAAGCAACAAAAAGCCAUGGAGGAACUUUAAAUGCCUAGUAUGAGUGAAAGAAGCCAGUCGAAAAAGGCUUCACACUGUAUAAUGCUGACACGUCCUGCUGGCAAAGGCAGAACAUUGGAGACGGCAAGUGAUGGGUGGCCACCAGGACUUGGGGUAUGAAAGUGCUUAGAAACUGUAUCUCUUUACACUGUCCUAGUCACAACAAUUUAGGCUCCAAAGACUCAGCUCUCUUAAGGGCAUUGAUGCAGAAUGGGAGGAGAAAUGACGUUAGUGCAGGCCGACUUUGGAACCUGAAAGAUUUUAAAGAGAGCAAUGGCUGAAGAGAAGAUACACAUUCUACAAAAUGCUUCCAUCUCUUUUUUUGCUGGUAAGCGCCCAAGACUGGGACUGCAACACGACAUUGCCCUGCCUGCUGGCUUUGCUCCAUUCAUGCUGGGCACCAAUGAAAGCCCACUGGAUCUCUUAGCUCCUCCUUAGGCUUUCCGCUUUGAUCAGCCGUUUCCAAGACACCUGCAUCAGUUUCUCCUGUGUUCUUUUGCAAGGUGGCUUCAUCUCUCCUUCCAUCAGGCAGUGGAGCCUGUUUCUGUCUCCUUAAACCUGGCUUUGUGACUGGGUCUAGUCCACACCAUGCAGCAGACAUGACAGCCAAUGUGGGAACUGGGUUUUAAGAGAUCUUAUAGGUUCUGGAUUGGAUCCACCCGAUGAGGAGGCUGAACGCGUUGACUGAAGCAGGAGAGGCCCCACGAAGAGAGUCGAGGUAGCCCGAUGGCCAGUGUCCGCGGUAGGACGUGCAGUUGCGGCCAUGGAGAACGGCUCGCCCAGCAGAGCCUUUACUGAAUGCAGAGCGUAAGUCAGCCCAGAUGAAACGGACACAAAAUCCCAACCAAGUAUGAAAACAUGAGGAAAAAGAAAAUGACGGCUUAAGCUACAGAGUUUGGGAUGACUUGUUACCCAGCAAAAGCUGAAAGAGUUACUUUAACGUCAAAGGUAAAAUCAACCACUUUGUCCAUAACUCAGAUCCAUCGGAGAAGAUUAUGAGAGGUCCCACCGCCCUCCAGCUGAUUCCUCCUUGUUCUCUCUCCGUCUCCUCUCUGGAGAAAUGAAGGUCGUGUUUUGCUGGCUGUCCCCAGUACUGAGACAGGCAUGUCUUGGGUCGGCAGGAGGACAGGAGGACCUGUCUGGACCCAGGGCGGUGUCAGUGACACUAACGGCCAUACGAGCAGCGUACCAGUAACUCAGCCCGAGUUCCUGUGUGGAGCCAUUCGUGUGGGGGGAGUGUGUGUAACUGUGGUGGAUGCUCUGGCAAGGCCCCGACUGCCCCUUCAGAGCCGCUCCUUCCUCGUGUACCCACGGUGCUGGCUGCAGAUGGCCUCUGUCUCUGCGGCUCUGCCUUCGGCCUUGGGAGCUGCUUCACCCGCCUCACCCUCCUUUCGCAAGGAGUGCGAGCCGCUUGAGAACACAGGCCGAGUCUUAUUCAUUUUAUGAACCGGUAAAAAAGGGUUCAGGAUCGGCAUUGAUUUAGGACUGGAGAUGAAAAACUCAAACGCUAGAUAAUGAAAUAUGCAUUACCAGCAUUUAAUUCUCAGGUGAGUCUAGCUGAAGAGAUUGAUGUUAAUGACGUCCUCUGAAAAUUAAUUGUUUGAGGAUGGAUGAAUGAGUAUUUUCAAAAUUUCUUCCUCCUUUUCAUGUUGCUGUUUAUGGUUUUGCCAAGUUCACAUUAAGUUUUGUUACAGGCUUGAAGGUGCAACUUAUCAAUCAAAGCCUCAACAAAAAAGGGGCUAAGCUUACUUGCUUAAAAUGAAUGCGUUAUUGUCGUUUUCCCUACAUAGGGCGCACAUUUUCAUUUAAACUAGUAUCCAACAUUUUGGCAACUGUUCCGUUUCUAAACUGUAAGUAACGCUAUGUCACUCUUGGUUUUUUGUUUGUUUUUGAAGUUUUUUCUUUUUAUUUAUUUUUUUUAUUAAAGUGCAGUUUAUUUACAGUGUUAAUUUCUGCAGUGCAGCAAAGUGACUCUCUUAUACAUACAUACCUUCUUUUUUAUAUUUCUUUCCAUUAUGGUUUAUCCCGGAGAUUGGAUAUUUUUCCCUGCUAUAGAGUAUCCUAUAUAGUAGGACAGACCCUAUUUAGUAAGAUAGAUCCUAUAGGGUAGGAUCUCUGUCGAUUCUAAAGGUAAUAAUUUGCAUCUGUUGACCCUGAACUUGGUUUGGAAGUCAGCGCUCUAGUUGAAUGUCAUUAAAGGGGACACCGGAGGCGUGGUGCUGCUUUUAACGAGGAAAACCGUGAACUUUGAAAAUGGCUUCUCAAUCCCACAUUCACUUUUACUUGGUGUAUUAAAACUAUUCUGUGUCCGUUUUUCUCUUAAUGUUUAAUAAAUACUAUAGUUAUGGAUAAUAGUACUUCGUAUAUAAUAGGAGAUCUCUGUAUAUUUUAUUUAUGAAUAUAUCAUGAUCAAUAAAUGCAUGUUUACUGGG
RNAcentral lists this long non-coding RNA (3778 nucleotides) under Sus scrofa (pig). Its description in RNAcentral is "lncRNA (ENSSSCG00050027997.1)". Lineage: Eukaryota; Metazoa; Chordata; Mammalia; Artiodactyla; Suidae. The record is from RNAcentral.